This 669-nucleotide ribosomal RNA is filed under the name uncultured archaeon. Its description in RNAcentral is "bacterial SSU rRNA". It matches the Rfam family "Archaeal small subunit ribosomal RNA", at positions 324 to 995 of the family's 1478-position model. The record is from RNAcentral.
UACGGGGUGCAGCAGUCGCGAAAACUUCACAAUGGGGGAAACCCCGAUGAGGGAAUUCCAAGUGCCAGCACAUUGUGUUGGCUGUUCUCUGGUCUAAAAAACCGGAGAAGUAAGGGCCGGGUAAGACGGGUGCCAGCCGCCGCGGUAAUACCCGCGGCCCGAGUGGUGGUCGAUAUUAUUGAGCCUAAAACGUCCGUAGCCGGUUUUGUAAAUCCUUGGGUAAAUCGACCAGCUUAACUGUUCGAAGUCCAGGGAGACUGCAAGACUUGGGAUCGGGAGAGGUGAGAGGUACUUCUGGGGUAGGGGUAAAAUCCUGUAAUCCUAGAAGGACCACCGGUGGCGAAGGCGUCUCACUAGAACGAAUCCGACGGUGAGGGACGAAGCCCUGGGGCGCAAACGGGAUUAGAUACCCCGGUAGUCCAGGGUGUAAACGCUGCGGGCUUGGUGUUGGGGGUCCUUUGAGGGCGCCCAGUGCCGGAGAGAAGUUGUUAAGCCUGCUGCUUGGGGAGUACGUCCGCAAGGAUGAAACUUAAAGGAAUUGGCGGGGGAGCACCGCAACGGGAGGAGCGUGCGGUUCAAUUGGAUUCAACGCCGGACAACUCACCAGGAGCGACGGUUACAUGAAGGCCAGGCUGAUGACCUUGCCUGAUUUUCCGAGAGGUAGUGCAU